RNAcentral lists this long non-coding RNA (1050 nucleotides) under Heterocephalus glaber (naked mole-rat). RNAcentral's name for it is "lncRNA (ENSHGLG00000050888.1)". Lineage: Eukaryota; Metazoa; Chordata; Mammalia; Rodentia; Bathyergidae. The record is from RNAcentral.
CUGCAGGCUGAGCAAAUGGGCCUACGGUGGAGCCGAUGAUGUCCCCUAUAAGGCCUGGUGAAAGAACUGGUCCAGAUGGUGUAACUUCCCACUCAAGAAGAUGAGGAGAGGAAAAGUGUUCAGCGAGAAAAAGGAGUACACAGGACAUCAUAGCAUGGCCUUGGUAACUGAAGCUGUUUCCUUGCCCCUCCCCACUGCUGAUGGGAUCCUUUAAGCUGGGACUUUGGCCCUAAAACUCCAGAAACAGAUCUUCUAUCUCCUCCAGCUUUGGUGCUGCUUCCACAGGAUGGAGCCACCUCCCAGGAGCAGAGGAUGCCACUUCUGUUUCAGAGCAAAGGUUAAUAACGCAAGAGAAAAUCACCAACGUACACAACUCUGAUGUUGUGGCUUUGCCUUUAUUAAAAAUGGGAACAAGCCAAGGAGAGUCCUGAUGAAAGCUGAGAUAAUUAAUGUGGUUGGAAAGAGGCAAGAAUCCAAGUAGAUCCAGAUACAAAAGCAAAGUUAAUGGCCUGAGCUAAAAUGCUAACGCCAGUGAGUUAGGGGCCAGCCAGCAUUAUACAAAUUUCCAGAGUGGUUUAGUGAAUCAGUAGAGCCUGCUGCCUCCCCUGCAUUGUAUAGAGCUGAUUGUACAGGGCUCAAACAGCUGACACGGGGAGCUUUCAGCAAGCUGGUUUUAGAAAAGGACAUCGUUUUGGAGGGGAGGUGAAUGUGGUAGCCAGCUUUUCCAGGCCCCUUUGCUGCUGCUGUUGUUUUUGAGAUCCACAUUUGAGAUCACAGAUGGAUGUGCUAUCGAUACAGGCUGAAACUCUGUCUGGCCAGAGACAGUCAACGGUGGAGGGGUAGUUAGGGUGGGAGGAAACAGCAAACAAUCCCGAUUUUCAGCUCAAAGAAGUUUCAGGAACCAGAUCCAGAGAUGAAACCCUGGAGAGGGAAAGGAGAGAGGCAGAGCUGGAAGAAAACUAUUGCAGCCCCUUGCUUGGGACCUGAGGCCUGAGGCAGCCUGGCACAAGGAGCAAUAUUUUCAUGGGUCCCUACCAGUGCACAGAUUCC